Molecule: ribosomal RNA, 406 nt
Filed under: Bifidobacterium sp.
Lineage: Bacteria; Bacillati; Actinomycetota; Actinomycetes; Bifidobacteriales; Bifidobacteriaceae
Description: bacterial SSU rRNA
Rfam family: Bacterial small subunit ribosomal RNA
Source: RNAcentral
AAUAACUCCUGGAAACGGGUGGAAAUGCCGGAUGCUCCAAUUUGNUGCAUGGGGUGUUGGGAAAGGGUCUUACCGGUAUGGGAUGGGGUCGCGUCCUAUCAGCUUGUCGGUGGGGUAACGGCCCACCGAGGCUUCGACGGGUAGCCGGCCUGAGAGGGCGACCGGCCACAUUGGGACUGAGAUACGGCCCAGACUCCUACGGGAGGCAGCAGUGGGGAAUAUUGCACAAUGGGCGCAAGCCUGAUGCAGCGACGCCGCGUGCGGNAUGACGGCCUUCGGGUUGUAAACCGCUUUUGAUUGGGAGCAAGCGCAAGUGAGUGUACCUUUCGAAUAAGCGCCGGCUAACUACGUGCCAGCAGCCGCGGUAAUACUUANGGCGCAAGCGUUGUCCGGAAUUAUUGUGCGU